AGCGCGCCCCGGCUUGAGCGGAAAUCCUUUUUUGUGGCUGGAAUUAGCGAUGGCAAAAAGAUUGGGAGCGGAAGACGGAUAAAGGC
Molecule: small RNA, 86 nt
Filed under: Epilithonimonas lactis
Lineage: Bacteria; Pseudomonadati; Bacteroidota; Flavobacteriia; Flavobacteriales; Weeksellaceae
Description: Chryseobacterium halperniae Flavo-1 RNA
Source: RNAcentral